Molecule: long non-coding RNA, 258 nt
Filed under: Nicotiana benthamiana
Lineage: Eukaryota; Viridiplantae; Streptophyta; Magnoliopsida; Solanales; Solanaceae
Description: long non-coding RNA (NBEN_LNC038621)
Source: RNAcentral
AGAAACCCUAGAAGCCGAUAGGUCACCCAAAAUCAACCAACCAAAAAUCAUCAUAAAAUCUUUCAGAACGUUCAGGAGAAGAAAAUACACUCGGAUAUCAUGAUGAGAGACUCAGAAAAGUCUUCGAUAGGUCGAAAUCUUCAUCGACCGUGAGGUCUCAGAAAUCACCCCCAAAAACCUCGAAACAGACUUCAUCCAAGACCACGAAGCACAUAGAAACAUGAUCGGAUCGUCGUCGAGGCUCUGAUACCAUGAAAA